Molecule: long non-coding RNA, 347 nt
Organism: Malaclemys terrapin pileata
Lineage: Eukaryota; Metazoa; Chordata; Testudines; Emydidae
Exons: 2
Source: RefSeq, a predicted model, not a curated record
ACUGCUUACUUAACAAGGUUUCUUUAAGGGACAUGUCAUUCUAUUACUAGUGUAUAAAUAAGGGGAAAAAGCUUGAGAUAGUUGGACUCGUUUGGGGACUCUUUUGGACUCUCCCUCUGGAUACAUCUUGCGGUCCCCACCGGCAGACGGAAGAUUUGGCCACUGGAAGCCUGCUGCUGUGUCACUCGAAAGCCACACUCAGCUUUGAGUAAACUUACCAAGAGCUUUGAGUUGAAAGAACCCUGGGUAACACAUGGACGCAUGUCCUCUGGAAUGGUGGUUGAAGCAUCAAGGGACAAAUGAAUCUUUAGCACAUCUGGCACCUGUUCUCACUUUCAGGUGAUAUU